Anopheles merus is the source of this 728-nucleotide long non-coding RNA. RefSeq lists it as uncharacterized. The transcript has 3 exons. The record is from RefSeq and is a predicted model, not a curated record. NCBI's taxonomy places the organism in Eukaryota, Metazoa, Arthropoda, Insecta, Diptera, Culicidae.
UUCAAAGCUGACGGUUUUCCAUUUCGGAUUCUGUGAAAAAUGCGGUGCUGAAUCUUUGCUCGAUUAUUGAGUGGUUACGGCCAUAGCUAAGGUUUUGUCAGCUUUCCAUUGAGCAGCGAUGUUCCAUGCCUGCAUUACUUCAAUUUAAUCAAGCUCACAGUAUGAAUUGUCAUACAUCUACGUUCCAUAAGAUUACAUCAAUCGUCUCAAUGACAAGAAUGUGUAGUGGAAAUACAUCAGAUGGCUAUGUGACAAUACGCUGUGAACCAGACAUCAAUGAGAUUGCAUACUAAUCAAAAGAUAUACUGUGCCACUCAAUCAAAUUCGCAGUGAACACUGAAUACUUGAGAUAGAGAUAGUGACGACGUAGCACUACCAAAACAUAAGUGAAGUUUUGCUUCAGCGUAUAAAAGAGCCUUGUAACACGUAUUGCAAUGUUCCACGAGGUGUCAAAAUGUUAAAAUAUCAUCGUAAAUGAAUCACUAUAAUAAAAUGAAUUUAUAUUUUGCAGUGAAAUAACCAAAGAUAACAUGGAGAUGAUUUCGAGGUCAUGAUAAUACUCAUCCAAAACAACAUGGAUCGAUAAUUAAUUUCAGUGAACAUAUUGUAGUGGAGUGAAGGUGUAACUGAAACAGCAUAUUUGUUUAUCUGAAACAGCAUAUAUGUUUAAGCAUUUCAUACGACAUUGAUAUAAACAACAGAGCGGGAAAGAUAGGAAGGAGUGAGGG